This 330-nucleotide long non-coding RNA is filed under the name Elaeis guineensis (African oil palm). RNAcentral describes it as "long non-coding RNA (EGUI_LNC003049)". The record is from RNAcentral. Lineage: Eukaryota; Viridiplantae; Streptophyta; Magnoliopsida; Arecales; Arecaceae.
AAGAAUUGAUAUAUUCAAGUUACUAUUUACUUGAAUCUAGUCGUGGAUUCUACCUGAUAUCACCACUCUUUCAAUUUUUUUUCUUCUAUCCCAAUACUCUUGUGGUUAACAACCUGCAGAUUUCAGCAUCACAGACGUAUGUCUUAAAAGAUUGUGGAUAUUUGACCACAGUUUUUUAUUUUGGCGUGUAAGAUUGGUUCCUAUCGAUGCUUUCUAGCUUAUUCAUUUGGAUCUUUCAUAUGGGCUUUGUGGAAUACUUGUUCAUUGUUCAUGGGAUGCCAUUUCUUUUGUAGAUAAUAAUGUCAAUUUGUUCAUCAUAUAGUAGGGAGA